GAUGAACGCUGGCGGCGUGCUUAACACAUGCAAGUCGAACGAAGAUGCCGGAGUGCUUGCACUUUGGCAGACUGAGUGGCGGACGGGUGAGUAACGCGUGGGUAACCUGCCUUAUACAGGGGGAUAACAGUUGGAAACGACUGCUAAUACCGCAUAAGCGCACGGUAUCGCAUGAUACAGUGUGAAAAACUCCGGUGGUAUAAGAUGGACCCGCGUCUGAUUAGCCAGUUGGCGGGGUAACGGCCCACCAAAGCGACGAUCAGUAGCCGACCUGAGAGGGUGACCGGCCACAUUGGGACUGAGACACGGCCCAAACUCCUACGGGAGGCAGCAGUGGGGAAUAUUGCACAAUGGAGGAAACUCCGAUGCAGCGACGCCGCGUGAGCGAAGAAGUAUUUCGGUAUGUAAAGCUCUGUCAGCAGGGAAGAUAAUGACGGUACCUGACCAAGAAGCCCCGGCUAACUACGUG
This 469-nucleotide ribosomal RNA is filed under the name uncultured bacterium. Its description in RNAcentral is "bacterial SSU rRNA". It matches the Rfam family "Bacterial small subunit ribosomal RNA", at positions 28 to 507 of the family's 1533-position model. The record is from RNAcentral.